UGGGGAAUUUUGGACAAUGGGCGAAAGCCUGAUCCAGCAAUGCCGCGUGUGUGAAGAAGGCCUUCGGGUUGUAAAGCACUUUUGUCCGGAAAGAAAUCCUCUGGGUUAAUACCUCGGGGGGAUGACGGUACCGGAAGAAUAAGCACCGGCUAACUACGUGCCAGCAGCCGCGGUAAUACGUAGGGUGCAAGCGUUAAUCGGAAUUACUGGGCGUAAAGCGUGCGCAGGCGGUUUUGUAAGACGGAUGUGAAAUCCCCGGGCUUAACCUGGGAACUGCAUUCGUGACUGCAAGGCUAGAGUAUGGCAGAGGGGGGUAGAAUUCCACGUGUAGCAGUGAAAUGCGUAGAGAUGUGGAGGAAUACCGAUGGCGAAGGCAGCCCCCUGGGCCAAUACUGACGCUCAUGCACGAAAGCGUGGGGAGCAAACAGGAUUAGAUACCCUGGUAGUCCACGCCCUAAACGAUGUCAACUAGUUGUUGGGGAUUCAUUUCCUUAGUAACGUAGCUAACGCGUGAAGUUGACCGCCUGGGGAGUACGGUCGCAAGAUUAAAACUCAAAUGAAUUGACGGGGUCAUAGCUG
RNAcentral lists this ribosomal RNA (579 nucleotides) under uncultured bacterium. Its description in RNAcentral is "partial 16S ribosomal RNA". It matches the Rfam family "Bacterial small subunit ribosomal RNA", at positions 355 to 932 of the family's 1533-position model. The record is from RNAcentral.